This 104-nucleotide non-coding RNA is filed under the name human gut metagenome. Its description in RNAcentral is "FMN riboswitch (RFN element)". It matches the Rfam family "FMN riboswitch aptamer (RFN element)". Rfam says of the family: The RFN element is a highly conserved domain that is found frequently in the 5'-untranslated regions of prokaryotic mRNAs that encode for flavin mononucleotide (FMN) biosynthesis and transport proteins. This element is a metabolite-dependent riboswitch that directly binds FMN in the absence of proteins. In Bacillus subtilis, the riboswitch most likely controls gene expression by causing premature transcription termination within the 5' untranslated region of the ribDEAHT operon and precluding access to the ribosome-binding site of ypaA mRNA. The record is from RNAcentral.
AUCUUCAGGGCAGGGUGUGAUUCCCGACCGGCGGUAAAGUCCGCGAGCGCAAGCUGAACCGGUGUGAUUCCGGUACCGACAGUACAGUCUGGAUGGAAGAAGAU